This 262-nucleotide ribosomal RNA is filed under the name uncultured bacterium. RNAcentral's name for it is "partial 16S ribosomal RNA". It matches the Rfam family "Bacterial small subunit ribosomal RNA", at positions 510 to 771 of the family's 1533-position model. The record is from RNAcentral.
AGCAGCUGCGGUAAUACGUAGGUGGCAAGCGUUGUCCGGAUUUAUUGGGCGUAAAGCGAGCGCAGGCGGAAUGAUAAGUCUGAUGUGAAAGCCCACGGCUCAACCGUGGAACUGCAUCGGAAACUGUCAUUCUUGAGUGCAGAAGAGGAGAGUGGAACUCCAUGUGUAGCGGUGGAAUGCGUAGAUAUAUGGAAGAACACCAGUGGCGAAGGCGGCUCUCUGGUCUGCAACUGACGCUGAGGCUCGAAAGCAUGGGUAGCGA